CCUACGGGUGGCAGCAGUGGGGAAUAUUGGACAAUGGGGGGAACCCUGAUCCAGCCAUGCCGCGUGUGUGAAGAAGGCCCUCGGGUUGUAAAGCACUUUCAGUGAGGAAGAACGCCUGGUGGUUAAUACCCAUCAGGAAAGACAUCACUCACAGAAGAAGCACCGGCUAACUCCGUGCCAGCAGCCGCGGUAAUACGGAGGGUGCGAGCGUUAAUCGGAAUUACUGGGCGUAAAGCGCGCGUAGGUGGCUUGAUAAGCCGGUUGUGAAAGCCCCGGGCUCAACCUGGGAACGGCAUCCGGAACUGUCAAGCUAGAGUGCAGGAGAGGAAGGUAGAAUUCCCGGUGUAGCGGUGAAAUGCGUAGAGAUCGGGAGGAAUACCAGUGGCGAAGGCGGCCUUAUGGACUGACACUGACACUGAGGUGCGAAAGCGUGGGUAGCAAACAGGAUUAGAUACCCCUGUAGUC
RNAcentral lists this ribosomal RNA (465 nucleotides) under Vreelandella stevensii. Its description in RNAcentral is "partial 16S ribosomal RNA". It matches the Rfam family "Bacterial small subunit ribosomal RNA", at positions 338 to 795 of the family's 1533-position model. Lineage: Bacteria; Pseudomonadati; Pseudomonadota; Gammaproteobacteria; Oceanospirillales; Halomonadaceae. The record is from RNAcentral.